This is an RNA transcript of Fukomys damarensis (Damara mole-rat), 6204 nucleotides long. It is a transcript of the gene named heterogeneous nuclear ribonucleoprotein A2/B1, with no coding region annotated. The transcript has 14 exons. The record is from RefSeq and is a predicted model, not a curated record. NCBI's taxonomy places the organism in Eukaryota, Metazoa, Chordata, Mammalia, Rodentia, Bathyergidae.
GUUUACGUUACGCACUGACGUAUGGAGAGACGCGUUACUGGGGGGAAGGUUCUAGAAAAGCGGCGGCAGCGGUUCUAGCGGCAGUAGCGGCAGCGCCGGGUGCCGGGUGGAGGUGCAGUUAGCGGAGUUUCUCGAGCAGCAGCAGUUCUCACUACAGCGCCAGGACGAGUCCGGUUCGUGUUCGUCCGCGGAGAUCUCUCUCAUCUCGCUCGGCUGCGGGAAAUCGGGCUGAAGCGACUGAGUCCGCGAUGGAGAAAACUUUAGAAACUGUUCCUUUGGAGAGGAAAAAGAGAGAAAAGGAACAGUUUCGUAAGCUCUUUAUUGGUGGCUUAAGUUUUGAAACCACAGAAGAAAGUUUGAGGAACUACUACGAGCAAUGGGGAAAACUGACAGACUGUGUGGUUAUGAGGGAUCCUGCAAGCAAAAGAUCGAGAGGAUUUGGUUUUGUAACUUUCUCAUCCAUGGCUGAGGUUGAUGCUGCCAUGGCUGCAAGGCCUCAUUCAAUUGAUGGGAGAGUAGUUGAACCAAAACGCGCUGUAGCAAGAGAGGAGUCGGGAAAACCAGGGGCUCACGUGACUGUGAAGAAAUUGUUUGUUGGUGGAAUUAAAGAAGAUACUGAGGAACAUCACCUUAGAGAUUACUUUGAAGAAUAUGGAAAAAUUGAUACCAUUGAGAUAAUUACUGAUAGGCAGUCUGGGAAAAAAAGAGGCUUUGGCUUUGUUACUUUUGAUGACCAUGACCCUGUGGAUAAAAUUGUGUUGCAAAAAUACCACACUAUCAAUGGUCAUAAUGCAGAAGUAAGAAAGGCUUUGUCUAGACAAGAAAUGCAGGAAGUCCAAAGUUCUAGGAGUGGAAGAGGGGGCAACUUUGGUUUUGGGGAUUCACGUGGUGGCGGUGGGAAUUUUGGACCAGGACCAGGAAGUAACUUUAGAGGAGGAUCUGAUGGAUAUGGAAGUGGACGAGGAUUUGGUGAUGGCUAUAAUGGGUAUGGAGGAGGACCUGGAGGUGGCAAUUUUGGAGGUAGCCCUGGUUAUGGAGGAGGAAGAGGAGGAUAUGGUGGUGGAGGACCUGGAUAUGGAAACCAGGGUGGGGGCUACGGAGGUGGUUAUGACAACUAUGGAGGAGGAAAUUAUGGAAGUGGAAAUUACAAUGAUUUUGGAAAUUAUAACCAACAACCUUCUAACUAUGGUCCAAUGAAAAGUGGAAACUUUGGUGGUAGCAGGAACAUGGGGGGACCAUAUGGUGGAGGAAAUUAUGGUCCAGGAGGCAGUGGAGGAAGUGGGGGUUAUGGUGGAAGGAGCCGAUACUGAGCUUCUUCCUAUUUGCCAUGGAUCUUUUAGAUGCUGCUUCUUCAAUGCAAGGAAAGGAAAUAACCCCAGCGAGGUACUCUUCAGGGACACAGGUCUAGUACAAGAGAACUGUUGACGGCUACUAAGUUCAGCUAGUCUUUAAAAAACUGUGCUGUUUCUACAAAACUUUAACCACAGUAGUUUAUAAGGAUGCCAACGAAAGCUGAGGGUGUAGAGCAAAGUAGUGCUAAGCUUCAGUUAAACUUCUUUAGCAUUGAUAUGAACCAUGGACAAGUAUAUUCUGCUGCCACAAAGACUGUAAAGUGCUUCAUUUCAACAGCUGAGGCAAGCCAAGUGAUCAUUAAUAAAGCUUUUCUUGGUUCCUUCAGUGGUGUUGGUAGUAAAAUGGAAGGUGUCUUGCUGCAGGUAACUAAUGAAGAAGUGGUCAACCACAGAGUCUUCAAGAAAUAAGAAAUUCUGUACCAUCUGAAAGUAGUUCUUGGUGCCUUCAUUUAAGAAGCACUUAAGAUUAAAGGGAAAUGUUUUUGAUAAACAAAAACUUGAUUUUAGUACAGGUUCUUGAUUAAAAAAAUGAGUGUUUGUAAAAUAACAUCAGCUAGAGAUAAAUGUAUCGUGUUUUUAAAUUAGGUUGUGUGAAUAGACAGAUAAAUUUCUAUUUUAAAUAUAAAAUUUAUAAAAUAAAUACUUUUAUAUGCAAAUAUUUGGUGUAAUGCUUACACAUGAAAUGUGUGAAACUUGUUCUAUUAACAUGUAGCUGUCUGCAAGAUUGCCAUCCCCUAAAUUUUUAAAGCAGUUUGCACAAAGCUAUGCAUAUUCUACUUUUUGAAUAUUAAGAGUCAAAUGAGAAGAGCAUUGUGGACAUUAUUUAUUGUCCUUAAUAAAAUGCUAUUUUUUAUGCACUGUAUAUUCAGUGUUUGAAUACUGCUACUUUGCUGUAUCUUUGAUAUUGGUGGUGGCUUUUGAAUUGAUGGAUUUUAACCAGCUAGUGCUCCAUAAACUGGUUUGUGCAAAGCACUGAAACAAAAUUGGAAAAUUUGUCAAAUGUCAGUCAGUUCUAUUGCAGUUUACACUUCACAUGUGAACAUCAGUGAUUAUCAUUGGAGUUAGAGCUUUCUGUAUCACAUUUAGUAAUGGGGACCAUCUCUAGAUGAUUGUCUAACUUAAAAGGUGAACAAAGUUGUGUUUCCUUUGGUUUUGAAAAUAUCACAGGUAAGUCAAAUAACAGUACUAUAAGCUUGUAUUCAAAAUAAUGUGCAUCUGUCACCAAUUGCACUUGUCAGAAUACUUGGUUUCCUCUACAGAGACAUUUUAACUUUGAAGAAGCAAUCAAACUGGUCUAAUAAAGGUGCAAAAUAUUGAGAACAAACACUAGGUUUGAGUAACUGGCUAACUGGAGAUAAAGGUUUACGGCAACUAAUGCUGGAUAGUGAACACAAGGUGCUUUUCCCAGUUACAAGUAGAAGGGAGUGACAGAUGGUAUGGUACCUUUCUUUAUUUCAGGUUUAACAUUGCAACAGUAAACUUGCUUUGCAUCUGAGUUCAUUCACUUACAGGCGUAGCCGUGAUUGUGGAUAAAAGCUCAAACUAGCAUAAAGGACAGGUUGGAGAAUUUACAUCCAAAAAUGAGUGAAAAUUAUUAGCGCUUAUCUCUCCCUGGAGUUUGUAAUAUCCAACAUUGAUCGCCAUGUGGUUAUUUUCUAUUGAUCUGAUGUGUUUACUGUGACUCUAAACAUUGGGAACCAGCUUUGAAUGCAGUUCUGUAUAAAUAUGUGAAAAACUGCUUCUGUAGAAAAUCUUUGCUCCUGUGGCUUAUAUCCCUGUUGGAUUGAUAAGUCAUGGUGUUUCUAGCCUCGAGGUCUUCAAGAAAAGUCUUAGGACACGUAAACCACGUGUUUGUCCCAUUUGAACAUUAGGAGCUCACAUCUAUAUAGCUGUUUGACAUAGUAUGCUUACAAUAAGAGUUGGUGCUUUAUAGACUGCAGUUCUUAGGUGGGGGGUUGGAGGAUUUACAGGUACUGAUGGAAAGCCAGGCAAGGUAAGUGGAAUGAAUAGUGCUGUGGUGGGGUUGACUUUAAAUCCUAAAUGAAGACUCCAUAUGUAGGCUCAGCUCCUUAUAUUCGAGAGGUCAAUCCACAUAGAUUUCACAAAAAACAUGGAUCACACCUGUGAAGGUGGUCACUUGGGUGUUACGUAUUGGGUAGGAAGUGUGAGAAUUUUAAGGGAUGCAGUAGCUGUGGACUGCUAAAUUCGGUUUCACUUUGAUUCCAUUUGCCUAGCUUUUUGUGACAUGAACUAUAACAAGUGAGCACUAUUGUACACUGAAGGUAAGUUCAGAAUUUGCUGAGGUGCUUAUAUUAAAAGUGUACUUGAAACCACGGGUGAAGUGGUUUCAACCCCAUUAAAGUGAAUGGUUCCUGUUCUGUGAGAUUUUUCAGUGAACUAGAUGAGGGUCAUAGCAAAUAAUCUUUGUGCAUCUGCUAAUUUAAAGAUAGUUGAGGACUGCAGUCAGUUCAUACUUCCUGAAUCCAAGAUGCUCAGGUACAACAACCAGGAACUAGCCAUUGUGUAACAAUUAACCUUGGUUGAACAUCCCUCCAUAAUCAGGGGCUACUAAAACAACAAAUGGUUUUUAUCAAUUAUGAAUAAACUGGGCAAGUAAUAACAUCCUUUGGUGAAAAGCCCUGUCAGGCUGGUCAGUUUGUUGAGGAAAACUAGACUUUGGUAUUAAUAUUUAAAAACAUUUGCUGGCAAGCUUUAGAGCUUGAAAACAACCAAUAAACCAUUUCUGUAAAAUAAGUACUUUUGUCACAUUUCACAUUCUAAUCUUAACACCCUUGAUUCUGAUUGCUCACUAAAAUUUCUAAAUGCUUUGGGCAAGAACUUUAAAAUCUAGAGCUGUGACCAUUCUCAUUUCAAAAUCCAUUUCUGGGAUUGCUUGGCUUUUUUAUGUUCAUUGCUUUACUAUUUUGUUCUUGAAGCUAGCUACCUUUUCUGCAUUUUAAAUAAACACCUAUCAUGGUUUCAGUAUUUCUAAUUGGGUUAUCCAUUAGCCUCUACUAUUUGGUUGCUUUAAUAUGGUAGAAAUAAAAAUACUUUGGUUUUUGUUUGAGACAGGGUCUCACUAUGUAGUUGAGACUGAGCUGGAACUCACUAUGUAGACCAGGUUGGUCUCGAACACACAUCAGAGUGCUGGGGUCACCCGGUCACCCAAAUACUUUGGGAUAUGAGAUUGUCCUGACAAGCUGGUUUUGAUUGGGGGUUACGUGGUAUCAGUUACUGCUACUGCUGUGCUAGAUAAUCACUUAGUGGGUAUUUGGGGAAGGAGAAAUCUUGACAUUUCUGUAUAAAAAGUUCAAAUAUGAAAUUUUAUUUUCAAACAUUUGGAAAAUAUUUACAAAAAUUAAAGCUUUCAUCGUAGUGCUAAGUGAGAACCAUAUUUGCAGUUAAUUAAAAAAUAUACCCCAGUGUCUGCUUUUUGGAGUAGCCACUAUUAGAGGUGUCUGCAAUAGAAAUGGUAUAUUGUGGCUUCCCCCUCAAUUUCUCGUUAACAAUGAUUCCUAAACAUUAAGUCAUGUGAUGCAAGUAGCAGGAAAAUUCCCAAGUCAGUUUAGUUUAUGACCCAAGUAAGUUUCUGAAUGUUGGUUAUCCACAGAAAUGAAGUCCAUCUUCAACUUCUAUUUUUUCUCUUUUCCUUUUGGACUGGGGCCACCAGUUCUUUUGGUACAAUGGAAACAGUUCCAUCCUGGCUGCACUGAAGUAUAUACUGGUUUGGAUUAACGGGCCUACCUUGGUCAUCUGUUAACCUGCUAAAAAGGUCAUGAUAAAGGUCAUGCAGUUUCUGUUUAAUUGUAUUAAUAGCUUUGUUACAUUGGGCUUGCUCUCUUUCAAGGGUUUCCUUUCUUGCCUGCAAGUUGCAUACUUCACCUUCUAAAUUUAAAAUUAUUUCUAAUUUGCGUUUACGACAGUUCUGAGCAGCAACUUUAUUUUUCCCUCUUCGUCUGAUGUCACGCAUCAGUGAGACUUGUAAGUCUGUCAGAUAGUCCCUGCUUAACAUGCUGUUGAAGGAAUCAACAGGCAUGCGGACAAUUUCUUCAACAGAAAAAGGGAUAUGUAGAGCUUUAGCACGCCGUUCAUCACGGCUCAAACUUUUGUCUGUGUCACUGAAGUACUUACUCAUUUUCUGAGAUUCCCCAGAUGUUGAAAAAGAUUGAGAAGUGGGUUCUUGUAAGUGGUAAGUGUGAUUAUGAAAUACAAAAUUUUGGAGACUAGAUUCAUACAUGUUACUGGGUUCUGGGCAAUAACCACCAACAGCCCCUUCUAAAUCAUGCCUGGAAAGACUUUCAAGGUCACUAGUAUAACCUAUAGCACCUUCAUUACAGGUAGAAUGAGAAGAAUUAGACUUGAUGAUGGAUGUGUUACUGUGGCUCAAAUCUAAUGACAAUCCGGAAUCAGAAUCUGGUUCUUGAAAAAGCUGAGAAACUGACAUUGGAUCAAAACCUUCCACAGCCAAUGAUACUAAGUUUAUCUCAUCAAAUAUGUUUGCUUCGAGGCCAUACAGAAGAUCUUGGCUUGUUAGAUUCCUCAUCUGAUGGUCAGCAGAUGGAUGAAAUUCUGUCAAAUUAGUAUCAGGAAGGGUCUGCAGAAAUGGUUCUUGUGCCCGUGAAGUCCUUGUUACUGAAUCUCUUCUAAAUGUGUUGGGACACAGCAACAUGGCUUCAUGAAGAUUUACAUCAUGACUUAUGGCUUGGCUAAAGUUUAUAUUAUGUGCUGAAGAAUUCAUACUGUCACUGAUACUACCUUGAAAAGGAGUAUCUUCCAAUGAAAUGUCCUGAAAAAGGAUGGAAAUAAGACACUUCAGUAUACAACAGCCUAUUUCAAAAACAAUUCUAUUACA